CUCCUUUGUGCGAUCCGUCCCGAGUCCACAGUCGCUCGCGGUCUUGGUUGCAGGGACCCUAAGUCCGUAGCCUCGUCUGGCUUCACGGGCCCCGCAGCCCCGACUGCCCUGGACCGUACCACGACUCCUCAAGGCCCCCAGGGCUGUGGCUUGGGAGCCCCGUCCAAUGCGCGGCCCCUUUGCUCGGCUCGGGACAUCUCGCCCCAAAGAAACUCGCCUCGCCGGGGCCCCUGGGUUACCCGGGACUCGGGGCUAGGGAUAGAGGGCGACUACACUGCGCAAGAGAUCGCAAUGAAGUCCGUAGAUCUCCAGGCUGGAGCCGCAGAGCGAGGUGGCGAGGUGGAGAACGCGGGGCUGGGCCUGGACAGCGGCCCUGGGGUCGUCUGGAGUCCUCGCUCCCUCAACCCGGAAGGCAGCGGACUGACAUCUGCGCCGAAGUCGCGCGUACCCCACGGAGGGUCGGGACCCUGGAAAUUUCGAACGCCCCAGCAGUUCAGGGCAGUCAUCGCUUUUCCCAAGCCGGGGAGUCCGGGGCCCCGCCAGGUUUCUCCGCGCUGUGACCUCGGGCGCGCAGAGCGGAGAGCGCCAAGCUCUCUGCUGGGUGUCGGAGGACGCGCCGAAAACAGGGACGUCUCUGCAGUGCGUCCGACACCAGCUCUCCAGUCCUGCUGCCGCCCGGGGUUGCUGCAGCCCGGGUUAUCCCGGCCCCCCAAGCUGCCCGGCUUUCGGCCUCCCCUGCUCCCCGCGCUGUGGGGUGGCGGAGGAUGGACCCAGGCUGACGCUGGGCUGGGUACCUGGAAAGAGGGCCCGCCUCCCGGACUCCGAGUCGGGCACCUGUGCGAAAGAGGCGAAAAUUCAGGCCUGGUGCUCAAGGCUCAGAGAUGAGGAGACCUCCCCAUCCCCCCAGAUUCCUGCCGGCGGUGUUGGCGCUGACCUCCUGGAAGCUGGCCUCGCCCUGGGUAUUCCCCAGCGUUACGCGGGCCUGUGGAUCUAAUUUUAAUUCAUUUGUAAAACAAAAGGACCAACCCUUCCCGACUUUUGGCGGUGGAGGAGGCUUGUAGGUUGAGGCCAGCGGUUCGAUCGAGGAAAGAGUUUGGGUUUGGGGAUUAAAGGGCCCAUUUGAGUCAGCGACUUACUGGUGGUGCAGCCCCUCGGCCUCCCAGAUCGUAGUUCCAAAUUUUAUGUAAAACAACUAAUUUAUGGAACAAUUUAACAAAUGGCAGAAAGAAGUGAGAGUCCCUCUGUUGGGACGUUGGCCUCUCGCCUUAGAAGUGAAGCCCCUUCAGAAGUGGUGGGUGAACCGAAGGCAUUUCCCAAGCAGUCAAGAGAAAAGAAAUACCCCAAAAUGGUUCUUUGAGGUCGGCUUUUCGGCUGGACUCUGCCCCCUUUUCCUUCCCCCUUUCCCAAAGAUUUCUGAUUUUUGUCAAAGGAAUGCUAGUUGUGGGGGUCCCAGGUGCCUUUUACGAAGCCGCCCUCCCCUUCCAUCCCCGUCGUUGCAGGGGCGGUUGCGGGGUCAACGGGAAGUACUCGGGGUGGGACACGCCUCUUCUUGCUGAGUCUCAGGUGAACACAGUCUAUUGCUUCCACCCAAAAGAGCAGCCAGUGCCACCUGCCACUCAGCUUAGCGAUUUCCAGUGCCCCCCUCAGGGGAAACCAUGCUGCUGUCCGUAGGUGUGACCAGCUUUUUGGUGACUACCUCUUGAAGAAAGUGUCUUUCCCUCAGCACAUGUGUAGCAAACAGGACUUGGAUCCUCUCCUUAUGGUGCAAACCCAUAUCACCGCCUAUAGACACCCACUUUCCUCCCAUAACACCCUUCCGGAGCUUGCCAGAGGGUCUGGGAUGACUCCACACCUUCAGGAAUUUUGAAACGGCUGCUGAUUAGGACUCAGUUUUUGAGUCCGUGCUUGAUGAGGAUGUACAGAGGCUGCACAGCUCUGCCUUGACCCAAAUCAUCCCAGAGAGAGUGCGAAGGUGGGAGCUGCAGCCGGACCCGCAGGGCCACCGGCAUGGCAGGUUCUGCAAGAGCCCGCCUGGCCGUCCCUGCUUUCUAGCGGCUGACGUGAAGUACUGGACAAAAGCAGCUGCUCCUUGUCAAGGAUUUCCAUUGUCCAAGGCUGUGUACGUAGAAGACACCUAUUUUGGUGGAAUAACACAAUGAUUUGACAGGAAGAACUAAUUUUAUCUGCAGUUAACUGCUCUACUGUGAGAAUAAUAUCAGAGAUGUUGAAUUUUAAAGAAUAGCUUGGGUCAUCUUUUGCAAUGUAAAGGAAUUUUUUCAAAAAAGACGGCAGCUCCUUCCACAUUCUCUUGAAUUUUAAUAGCCUUUCUUUCUGUAAAUACUAUAACUCUGUAACACUCGUGAGUUUCAGGACCUCUAAGAAAAUCAAAUGAAACUUCCUGUAAUUUCCUUUAAUUAUACUUUACAGAAAUCAUU
Molecule: long non-coding RNA, 2435 nt
Filed under: Homo sapiens (human)
Lineage: Eukaryota; Metazoa; Chordata; Mammalia; Primates; Hominidae
Description: long non-coding RNA NONHSAT157702.1
Source: RNAcentral